GGGAGGCGAAGCUCGCGCGCGCGCCCCACCUCACCUCCGCCAGUCGAGAAGGGGGGGGGCGAGACGGGGACGGGGGGGGCGAGCGCUGCACCUGGCCGGCCUCGGGGAGGACAUCACCGCGCCGCCCGCUCCCUUCGCCGGUAGGAUGUGACUUUUUUUUUUUGUUUUUUUCCGCCCCCUGCCGAAAGGAAACGAGGAGAAACGCGAGUCGCGCGAGAUUUUAAACGGGCGGCGGAAGGGGGGGGCGCGUAGAGACCCCUCCCCCAUCACCUGCAUCGCCUCCCGCUUCCCUUUUUCCCCGGGCCGUUGCAAAGGCGCAUCCUUUCCUUUCUCCCCCCACCCCCAUCCCCGCCUUCCCGGGGACCCUUUCCAACGCGUGGCUGGAAAGAUCAGCGUGCUUGUGUGGAGAGGACCAAAGUAAACAGUUUUACCCCUUUGCUUUACGAGAAGCGAAAACUUUUCUCCGACGGAAAAGUUCUGGAAAGUGAGGACUGAAUUCCGAGUUUUUCAUUCCGGCGGGGUUACUUUUCCUUACUUUAUGUGAAAGCCGCAAUUUACCAUACGGGAAUUUGCAAAUUGCCACCUAGAAUACUUCUUCUUCUGUGCCAUAUCUGUCAUCCAACAUUGGCGAUCAUGUUGCCGAUCCUACUUUUAUCAACAAGCCACACGAAAAAGUGCUGCUGAGUUUUGUCCAAACCAAUCCCUUAGAUUACAGAAUGUGGAAACCAGAAUCAUAUACACAGUCUUGGCAUCAUGCCACUCUACCAGCAGAAUAACUCCAAAAACUGAAUUAAAAAGGACCAAACUUGUGUUGGGGGAGAAAUUGGUGGAAGAAAAAUAGGUUUUUACAAAUGGGACAUAUCUUCUUAGGAAAAGCAAGGGGGAAAAAAUGCCCCCAGUGCACCUCUAUAGGAAAGGCAUUUGGGUGAUUGUUCCAUUCUAAAUCCUCCUUUUUUUCCUGGUUACAUGAUCCAGAGUGGAGCUAUUAUGAAGCUCUUGGUAAGAAUCCCACAAGUCAUGUUCUGCCUACUUCCUUAACUUAUCAAUAUUAUUGUUUCCAACCCAACAGAAUGUUGGAGGAAAUUGAUAUAAAGGGGCCAACACUCUACUGACAGCCAAUCAGCAGGAAUGAAAACUGAAAGAGAACCAGACCCAAAUUUGUGUAUAGGAAGUAGCUGGCAACAGAAAGAUUGAAUUCAACGAUUAGUCAGAUCCCAAAUGCUGGAGUAUU
RNAcentral lists this long non-coding RNA (1231 nucleotides) under Laticauda laticaudata (blue-ringed sea krait). Its description in RNAcentral is "lncRNA (ENSLLTG00000008542.1)". Lineage: Eukaryota; Metazoa; Chordata; Lepidosauria; Squamata; Elapidae. The record is from RNAcentral.